This is a non-coding RNA of Papaver somniferum (opium poppy), 72 nucleotides long. The record is from the annotation of a RefSeq genome assembly. Lineage: Eukaryota; Viridiplantae; Streptophyta; Magnoliopsida; Ranunculales; Papaveraceae.
GCCAGCUUAGCUCAGUGGUAUAGCUCUUGACUUUUAAUCCCCUGGUCAAGGGUUCGAUUCCCUUAGUCGGCG